AACGCCGCGUGAGUGAAGAAGGUUUUCGGAUCGUAAAGCUCUGUUGUUAAGGAAGAACGUUCAUGGUAGUAACUGGCCAUGAAGUGACGGUACUUAACCAGAAAGCCACGGCUAACUACGUGCCAGCAACGUCGGUGACUGAGCGGGCUGGCAAGGCGCAUA
This 162-nucleotide ribosomal RNA is filed under the name uncultured bacterium. Its description in RNAcentral is "partial 16S ribosomal RNA". It matches the Rfam family "Bacterial small subunit ribosomal RNA", at positions 393 to 539 of the family's 1533-position model. The record is from RNAcentral.